UGGGGAAUUUUGGACAAUGGGCGAAAGCCUGAUCCAGCAAUGCCGCGUGUGCGAAGAAGGCCUUCGGGUUGUAAAGCACUUUUGUCCGGAAAGAAAUCCUUGGCUCUAAUACAGUCGGGGGAUGACGGUACCGGAAGAAUAAGCACCGGCUAACUACGUGCCAGCAGCCGCGGUAAUACGUAGGGUGCAAGCGUUAAUCGGAAUUACUGGGCGUAAAGCGUGCGCAGGCGGUUUGCUAAGACCGAUGUGAAAUCCCCGGGCUCAACCUGGGAACUGCAUUGGUGACUGGCAGGCUAGAGUAUGGCAGAGGGGGGUAGAAUUCCACGUGUAGCAGUGAAAUGAGUAGAGAUGUGGAGGAAUACCGAUGGCGAAGGCAGCCCCCUGGGCCAAUACUGACGCUCAUGCACGAAAGCGUGGGGGAGCAAACAGGAUUAGAUACCCUGGUAGUCCACGCCCUAAACGAUGUCAACUAGUUGUUGGGGAUUCAUUUCCUUAGUAACGUAGCUAACGCGUGAAGUUGACCGCCUGGGGGAGUACGGUCGCAAGAUUAAAAC
Molecule: ribosomal RNA, 554 nt
Filed under: uncultured bacterium
Lineage: Bacteria
Description: partial 16S ribosomal RNA
Rfam family: Bacterial small subunit ribosomal RNA
Source: RNAcentral